GUAGUAUCCAUUCCAGAUGCUGUGUCAUCCCCAACAAAGAGAAGGUUUAGUGUUUGUGGAUUUAUUCAACAUAUUGGAGAAGUAUACUCCGGGGAAAACUCAAGAAGAAAAUUAAUACGUUUAUCAACAAAUUCUGACCCUGACACAAGUGAACCACAGGCACAUGUUAAAUUAUGGAACCAAUAUUGUGAAAAUCCAUUGCAAACAAAGCAGAAAAUAACAUUGAAGAAUGUCGUUGUUUCUGAAUUCAAUGGAGUAAAAACAAUUAACACAACAUCGACGACGCAGAUUAUUGAUUCAACUGAAGAAACCAGAAUUAGUGGUGAGAUUCAGGGCAUUAAUUGGAAAACGGAGGUUCCCAAAGUUCUAAUCAAUGAUAUCAGCUAUACGAUAGAAGCUGACCUAUUGAAAACAGUGAUGACAAAAUAUUCUGUAGAUGGUAUUACAGUGGAGUGCAAAGUAAUUGGAAAUUCCAUUAGAGAAAUAAAAAAGAUGGCAAAAGAAAAAACAGGGAAAAAAUAAAUUCUGCCCUCAUUCUUUACAUGUUGGAAUUUGUUUUCUUUGAUACAUUUAACACCAACACAUGUUUUAUUGCCUGGUAGGCAACCUACUUUAUUUUCUUAAAUGUUCUUGAAUAUUAUAUAUUUAUUUUUUAUGUACUUUAUAUUUAUUCUGUAUAUCACAAUCAGUAAUAAUCAGUUUCCCCUUCUCUGAUCUUGUAUACGGCAGCAAUCUUGUUAUAAAUAAUAUCAUAUCGCACAUCUUGCCUUUUAUAUACCCUCACAUGAAUACAUGUAUUGUGAUCAUUUAUCGUUUAAUCUGUCUCAAUUUGUAUGUGUUGUUACAUUUCUCAAACAAAUGAACAUUAUUCAAUUUUGUUUAUAUAUUUUAACAAUUAUGAACAUUUCUGCACUUUCUGGAAUCAACACUGUCACCAGUAUAGUUAUGUCACUUAACUUUGCACAGCAUUGUCAACAUAUUCUGUCAGUGACAACAAACUUAUAUGUUCUUUAGUUUACUGUUUCAAUAAUGCCAUAUGAAUCUCAACAACUAUUUUCUAUUCGCCCACAUGGAAAUGUGGAUGUAUAUUGUCAUCACCCUGUAUGUCUGUCUGCCCAUCCAUCCAUUGGUUGUCGCCCAGUUUCUUGUAACACUCUAGAGGCUAAAGUUAAUAUCUGAUUGACUUGAAAUUUAUACACACUUUUUAAGGUCAUGAAACAAAGAAACCUAUUAAUUUUCACAAUAUCCGAUAAUUACUGCCAGAAUAAUAACCGUUGAUCACUUUAAGACAAAGAAGCCUAUUGUUUUUCAGCGAUUUCCGAUAAUAACUACCAAAAAAUCUUGUGGACGCUAUCCACAGUUUCUUGUGAUUGUUUUUUAAAUCAUAAAAAAAAGCCUAUUGUUUUUCAACGAUAUCCAAUAAUUACUGCCAGAGUUAUGACCCUUGAUCACUUUGAAAAACUUGUGAAUGCACU
Long non-coding RNA from Patella vulgata (common limpet), 1475 nucleotides. RefSeq lists it as uncharacterized. The transcript is spliced from 5 exons. Lineage: Eukaryota; Metazoa; Mollusca; Gastropoda; Patellidae. The record is from RefSeq and is a predicted model, not a curated record.